AGGAGGAGGAGGAGGAGGAGGAGGAGGUGGAGGAGGGGGAAAAAAUUUGGACACAGGUGCACACAGGGAGGAGAAGGCCACGUGGAGACAGACACAGAGGGAAUGAGACCACGUGAGACGAAUCACGGUGAUGCUGCUUACAGCCAAGGAUCUCUGGGGCUGCCGGACGCAGGAGAAGCGGAGGAAGGACCCUCCGUUCAGGGCUUUGAAGGGAGCACGGCCAGCUCACACCCUGAGUUUAGACUUCCAGCCUCCAGAACGGGACGUGCACUCACAGUGGCCUGACUGUCCGUGUGUCUAACCUGGCAUGAUACACACUUGGAGUUAUCUCAUUCCUGCUCUGUGCGCUCAUUGCAUGAGAGCCUCACGUGCAGGAUCAUAUCUCCUCCUUGUUCUCCAGAGUACAAUGGUUUCUUUCAAUAAAUAUGCACAGAGCUCCAAUUUUGUUCCAAUUGCUGUGGCAAGCUCUGUAGAUGAAGUGGAAAGAAGUAAAGAAGUACAGACACGA
Callithrix jacchus (white-tufted-ear marmoset) is the source of this 508-nucleotide non-coding RNA. The record is from RefSeq and is a predicted model, not a curated record. NCBI's taxonomy places the organism in Eukaryota, Metazoa, Chordata, Mammalia, Primates, Cebidae.